UACGAAGGGGGCUAGCGUUGCUCGGAAUUACUGGGCGUAAAGGGCGCGUAGGCGGAUGUUUAAGUCGGGGGUGAAAGCCCAGGGCUCAACCCUGGAAUUGCCUUCGAUACUGGACAUCUUGAGUACGGGAGAGGUGAGUGGAACUCCGAGUGUAGAGGUGAAAUUCGUAGAUAUUCGGAAGAACACCAGUGGCGAAGGCGACUCACUGGCCCGUUACUGACGCUGAUGCGCGAAAGCGUGGGGAGCAAAC
RNAcentral lists this ribosomal RNA (250 nucleotides) under uncultured bacterium. RNAcentral describes it as "partial 16S ribosomal RNA". It matches the Rfam family "Bacterial small subunit ribosomal RNA", at positions 524 to 773 of the family's 1533-position model. The record is from RNAcentral.